ACGAGCGCUGGCGGCAUGCCUAACACAUGCAAGUCGAACGAGACCUUCGGGUCUAGUGGCGCACGGGUGCGUAACGCGUGGGAACCUGCCCUUAGGUUCGGAAUAACUCCCCGAAAGGGGUGCUAAUACCGGAUAAUGUCUUCGGACCAAAGAUUUAUCGCCUUUGGAUGGGCCCGCGUUGGAUUAGCUAGUUGGUAGGGUAAAAGCCUACCAAGGCGACGAUCCAUAGCUGGUCUGAGAGGAUGAUCAGCCACACUGGGACUGAGACACGGCCCAGACUCCUACGGGAGGCAGCAGUGGGGAAUAUUGGACAAUGGGCGAAAGCCUGAUCCAGCAAUGCCGCGUGAGUGAUGAAGGCCUUAGGGUUGUAAAGCUCUUUUACCCGGGAUGAUAAUGACAGUACCGGGAGAAUAAGCUCCGGCUAACUCCGUG
This 432-nucleotide ribosomal RNA is filed under the name uncultured bacterium. Its description in RNAcentral is "partial 16S ribosomal RNA". It matches the Rfam family "Bacterial small subunit ribosomal RNA", at positions 29 to 507 of the family's 1533-position model. The record is from RNAcentral.